UACAGAGGGUGCGAGCGUUAAUCGGAAUUACUGGGCGUAAAGCGCACGUAGGUGGCGACGUAAGUCGGGUGUGAAAGCCCCGGGCUCAACCUGAGAAUUGCAUUCGAGACUGCAUUGCUGGAGUACGGAAGAGGAAGGCGGAAUUCCCGGUGUAGCGGUGAAAUGCGUAGAUAUCGGGAGGAACAUCAGUGGCGAAGGCGGGUCUCUGGGCCGAUACUGACGCUGAGGAGCGAAAGCGUGGGGAGCGAACAGG
RNAcentral lists this ribosomal RNA (253 nucleotides) under uncultured bacterium. RNAcentral describes it as "partial 16S ribosomal RNA". It matches the Rfam family "Bacterial small subunit ribosomal RNA", at positions 524 to 776 of the family's 1533-position model. The record is from RNAcentral.